This 728-nucleotide unclassified non-coding RNA is filed under the name Hevea brasiliensis (rubber tree). The record is from RNAcentral. Lineage: Eukaryota; Viridiplantae; Streptophyta; Magnoliopsida; Malpighiales; Euphorbiaceae.
AAGAGAGUGAUAAAAAUCCCUACGCCCAAGAGAGUGAUAAAAAUCCCUAGACUAGAUACAAGAUAAUCGCAGAGAAAUCAAGCAGAAGAAGAAAGGCUAAGUCUUAAUUAUACUUUAAUUUUAUAUUUUUAAUUUUAAUAAUUUAGGUCCAAUUUCUUAUAUGUAAUGAUAGUUCAUUCCCAUUGAAAUUUAAAGGAAAAAUAAAAAACGGAGGAUUUAUGGCUUAGAGACUUUUGAGCAGACAUGUAGAAACAAUCAUCGUCAUUUCGAGCCUAUCUUUCUCCAAAGAUCAAAUCCACCGGUAUUGUGCAGCCAGGAACCAUAUCAGCUGUCAAAUUAAACAAAACCAUUCAAAAAAGAGAACAGAUUUCCCUAAUGGAGAGUGCAUCAGUAACCUUAGGAAAUCCGCAUGGACAAAUUGAUUCUCCAAUAGGUUCAAAGUGAAGAAAAACCCCUAUCGUUUUACACAUCAUUUGCAAUCUCUCCACCAUUCCUAAUUCAGAAUUUUUAAAAAAGAACAAAAAAUGUGGACGAGCAACAAUCGAAUCGUCAAUGGAAGAAUGACGACUGAAACGAUAUCUCGGCCAUGGAUUUGUUAUACCUGCCGUUCUUUCGAAGAUAAGAGACACUCCCAAUCCGUCUCUCCUCUCCAUAUCAGAACAGAGGUUUCUUCUUUUAUACAAAAAACUGACCUAGAAAAUCUCUCUGCACUUUCUGAUUAGCGACUG